AAUCAACGCUGGCGGCGUGCCUCAGACAUGCAAGUCGAACGAUUAAAGCUCUCUUCGGAGAGUGCAUAGAGUGGCGCACGGGUGAGUAACACGUAAGUAAUCUACCUUCGAGUGGGGAAUAACACCGAGAAAUCGGUGCUAAUACCGCAUAAUGCAGCGGCAUCGCAAGAUGACAGUUGUUAAAGAUUUAUCGCUUGAAGAGGAGCUUGCGGCAGAUUAGCUAGUUGGUAAGGUAAUGGCUUACCAAGGCUACGAUCUGUAACCGGUCUUAGAGGACGGUCGGUCACACUGACACUGAACAACGGGUCAGACUCCUACGGGAGGCAGCAGUCGGGAAUUUUGGGUCGAAUGGGCGAAAGCCUGACCCAGCAACGCCGCGUGAAGGAUGAAGUAUUUCGGUAUGUAAACUUCGAAAGAAUAGGAAGAAUAAAUGACGGUACUAUUUAUAAGGUCCGCUAACUACGUGCCAGCAGCCGCCG
Molecule: ribosomal RNA, 479 nt
Filed under: uncultured bacterium
Lineage: Bacteria
Description: bacterial SSU rRNA
Rfam family: Bacterial small subunit ribosomal RNA
Source: RNAcentral